AUACGUAGGUGGCAAGCGUUGUCCGGAAUUAUUGGGCGUAAAGCGCGCGCAGGCGGCUUCUUAAGUCUGAUGUGAAAGCCCACGGCUCAACCGUGGAGGGUCAUUGGAAACUGGGAGGCUUGAGUGCAGAAGAGGAGAGUGGAAUUCCACGUGUAGCGGUGAAAUGCGUAGAGAUGUGGAGGAACACCAGCGGCGAAGGCGGCUCUCUGGUCUGUAACUGACGCUGAGGCGCGAAAGCGUGGGGGGCAAACAGGAUUAGAUACCCUGGUAGUCCACGCCGUAAACGAUGAGUGCUAAGUGUUAGAGGGGUUAAACCCUUUAGUGCUGUAGCUAACGCGUUAAGCACUCCGCCUGGGGAGUACGGCCGCAAGGCUGAA
This 377-nucleotide ribosomal RNA is filed under the name uncultured bacterium. Its description in RNAcentral is "bacterial SSU rRNA". It matches the Rfam family "Bacterial small subunit ribosomal RNA", at positions 523 to 898 of the family's 1533-position model. The record is from RNAcentral.